CAGGGCUUGACAUCCUAUGAAUCCGGUAGAGAUACUGGAGUGCCCUUCGGGGAGCAUAGAGACAGGUGGUGCAUGGUUGUCGUCAGCUCGUGUCGUGAGAUGUUGGGUUAAGUCCCGCAACGAGCGCAACCCUUAUGUUUAGUUGCUACGCAAGAGCACUCUAGACAGACUGCCGUUGACAAAACGGAGGAAGGUGGGGACGACGUCAAAUCAUCAUGCCCCUUAUGUCCUGGGCUACACACGUACUACAAUGGCGGUCAACAACGGGAAGCUAAGCCGCGAGGUGGAGCAAAUCCCCAAAAGCCGUCCCAGUUCAGAUUGCAGGCUGCAACUCGCCUGCAUGAAGUCGGAAUUGCUAGUAAUCGCAGAUCAGCAUGCUGCGGUGAAUACGUUCCC
This 396-nucleotide ribosomal RNA is filed under the name uncultured bacterium. RNAcentral describes it as "bacterial SSU rRNA". It matches the Rfam family "Bacterial small subunit ribosomal RNA", at positions 975 to 1375 of the family's 1533-position model. The record is from RNAcentral.